Molecule: ribosomal RNA, 253 nt
Filed under: uncultured bacterium
Lineage: Bacteria
Description: partial 16S ribosomal RNA
Rfam family: Bacterial small subunit ribosomal RNA
Source: RNAcentral
UACGGAGGGGGCGAGCGUUAUUCGGAAUUAUUGGGCGUAAAGGGCGCGUAGGCGGCUGUACAAGUCAAAGGUGAAAUCCCUCGGCUCAACUGAGGAACUGCCUUUGAAACUGUACGGCUUGAGGCCGGGAGGGGGUAGCGGAAUUCCCAGUGUAGCGGUGAAAUGCGUAGAUACUGGGAGGGACACCAGUGGCGAAGGCGGCUACCUGGACCGGUUCUGACGCUGAGGCGCGAAAGCGUGGGUAGCAAACAGG